Molecule: long non-coding RNA, 246 nt
Filed under: Drosophila guanche
Lineage: Eukaryota; Metazoa; Arthropoda; Insecta; Diptera; Drosophilidae
Source: RNAcentral
UUUACUGUGCGACCUCCGUGGCUGCCCGUGGUCUCUGCGGUGCCCCAGCCGUGUCCUGGUCUGCCACUUGAAGCCAUAUAAUUGCGCUUAUCUCUUGGCGCACACUCAAGAGGCCCCGGCUCAAUAUGUUUUUGGAGUGAAAUGAAGUGCCCAUCGUGUCCACUUGUAAAAAGACCAGGGCGACUGAGCCAGCUUGGGAAGGACAGUGGGAGAGAAGAUGGAGAGGUGCAAGUAGAAGUGGACUUC